UACGGGGGGAGCAAGCGUUGUUCGGAUUUACUGGGCGUAAAGGGCGCGUAGGCGGCGUAACAAGUCACUUGUGAAAUCUCCGGGCUUAACCCGGAGCGGCCAAGUGAUACUGUUGUGCUAGAGUGCGGAAGGGGCUACUGGAAUUCUCGGUGUAGCGGUGAAAUGCGUAGAUAUCUGGAGGAACACCGGUGGCGAAGGCGGCAUCCUGGACCGACACUGACACUGAGGAGCGAAAGCCAGGGGAGCAAACGGG
Molecule: ribosomal RNA, 253 nt
Filed under: uncultured bacterium
Lineage: Bacteria
Description: partial 16S ribosomal RNA
Rfam family: Bacterial small subunit ribosomal RNA
Source: RNAcentral